Small nuclear RNA from Phyllostomus discolor (pale spear-nosed bat), 102 nucleotides. NCBI's taxonomy places the organism in Eukaryota, Metazoa, Chordata, Mammalia, Chiroptera, Phyllostomidae. The record is from RefSeq and is a predicted model, not a curated record.
UGCUCGCUUCGGCAGCACCAGACCAAAGCCGGAACAUACAGAGAAGAUGAGCACGGCCCCUGCACGAGUGACACGCAAAUUCAUGAAGCAUUCCAUAUUUUA